UGGACUUAUUUGCAAAGUUACACCUUAGUAUUUAUAGCUUUCUAGGGUUUGGUGCCACCUAACCCUAAUCCUAGCCCUAGCCAACCACCCAGCCGCCUCCCUCUCCUUCCCCUGCACCUGCUGCGCGCGCCCAGGCCGCCGCCGACCGAGCCCCGGCCGGCCAACCACCGCGGCAGCCUCUACCUCUCCCUCUCUCCCUCUCUUUCUCUCUCCCUCUCUCCUCUCGGGUUGUGAGGAGACCCGAGACUGCCGCCACCUUCGGACCCUCCCUUGGUGUCGCCCCGUGCUCCGGCGAUCAUCCCCGCCGACCGCCGCCGUCGCCUGCGCCGCCGCUGCCACCCCGGGCCGCAUCUGCUAGCCCGGGCCGAGCCUGACCGAGCUGGGUUGCACUACCUGCCCGCGCGCCGCCACCGCCUGGAAACCCUCCCGCCGACCUCCCCCGUGCCCGGGCGCCCCUUCCCGCCGGUCGCCGCCGCCCCGACGCGCCGCCGUCGCCGCCUCGGCCAGCCGCGGCCGCCCAGCCCGAGCCCAGGCUGUUGUUGUUUGCGGUCUCUUUCCCGCGCCGCCGCCGCUUGGGUCCGCACCCGAGGAGUCCCUCCGACCUCCUGCCACCCUCCUCCGCCGUCCCCGACCUUCCCCGGCCGCCGCCGUGGCCGGAGAAACCCGCCGAGCCCGAGCUUCUCUCUUGCGGGCUCGGGUUGCUCCGCCGACGCCGCCGCCGCUUCUCGUCGCCAACCGAGGUGAGCACGGUGUUCCUCACCUCCCCCGCACCCGCCCCUGGCCCCCGCGCGCGCCGCCGUGCCGCCGGAAGCCGGCCGGAGCAAGGUUGCUCCGGCCAAGCCCGAAAUAGGACUUUGUUUGGGGUGUUUGUUGUUCUGGGCUUUCCGAGCCUCCCCGAUCUCUACGGAAGGGAGCACGAUGAUCCUGGCAAGUUGCUGAUCAUCGUGCUCACCUUGGUUUCUGUCGGGAAGGCCCCGUUCCGCUGUUUUGGCGAUGUCGCUCCGUUUCAGCCUUUUUGGCUGCUGUUUCGGGUUUGUGCUUGUUUUUCCGGCGAUC
RNAcentral lists this long non-coding RNA (1056 nucleotides) under Ananas comosus (pineapple). RNAcentral's name for it is "long non-coding RNA (ACOM_LNC040073)". The record is from RNAcentral. Lineage: Eukaryota; Viridiplantae; Streptophyta; Magnoliopsida; Poales; Bromeliaceae.